GAAACGACUGCUAAGACUGGAUAGGAAACAAAAAGGCAUCUUUUUGUUUUUAAAAGACCUUCUUACGAAGGUAUGCUUAAAGAGGGGCUUGCGCCACAUUAGUUAGUUGGUAGGGUAAAAGCCUACCAAGACGAUGAUGUGUAGCUGGACUGAGAGGUUGAACAGCCACAUUGGGACUGAGACACGGCCCAAACUCCUACGGGAGGCAGCAGUAGGGAAUUUUCGGCAAUGGAGGAAACUCUGACCGAGCAACGCCGCGUGAACGAUGAAGUAUUUCGGUAUGUAAAGUUCUUUUAUUGAAGAAGAAAAAGUAGUGGAAAAACUAUAUUGACGUUAUUCAAUGAAUAAGCCCCGGCUAACUAUGUGCCAGCAGCCGCGGUAAGACAUAGGGGGCGAGCGUUAUCCGGAAUUAUUGGGCGUAAAGGGUGCGUAGGCUGUUAGAUAAGUCUAUAAUUUAAUUUCAGUGCUUAACGCUGUCUUGUUAUAGAAACUGUCUUGACUAGAGUGAGAUAGAGGCAAGCGGAAUUCCAUGUGUAGCGGUAAAAUGUGUAAAUAUAUGGAGGAACACCAGAAGCGUAGGCGGCUUGCUGGGUCUUUACUGACGCUGAGGCACGAAAGCGUGGGUAGCAAACAGGAUUAGAUACCCUGGUAGUCCACGCCGUAAACGAUGAGUACUAAGUGUCGGGGUAAAACUCGGUACUGAAGUUAACACAUUAAGUACUCCGCCUGAGUAGUACGUACGCAAGUAUGAAACUUAAAGGAAUUGACGGGACUCCGCACAAGCGGUGGAUCAUGUUGUUUAAUUCGAAGAUACACGAAAAAUCUUACCAGGUCUUGACAUACUCUGCAAAGCUAUAGAAAUAUAGUGGAGGUUAUCAGGGAUACAGGUGGUGCAUGGUUGUCGUCAGUUCGUGUCGUGAGAUGUUAGGUUAAGUCCUAAAACGAGCGCAACCCUUGUCGUUAAUUGCCAGCACGUAAUGGUGGGGACUUUAGCGAGACUGCCAAUUAAACAUUGGAGGAAGGUGAGGAUUACGUCAAAUCAUCAUGCCCCUUAUGAUCUGGGCUACAAACGUGAUACAAUGGCUGUGACAAAGAGUAGCUGAAACGCGAGUUUUUAGCCAAUCUCAAAAAAGCAGUCUCAGUUCGGAUUGAAGUCUGUAACUCGACUUCAUGAAGUUGGAAUCGCUAGUAAUCGCGAAUCAGCAUGUCGCGGUGAAUACGUUCUCGGGGUUUGUACACACCGCCCGUCAAACCACGAAAGUUAGCAAUACCCGAAAGCAGUAGCUUAACUUCGCAAGAAGAGGGAACUGUCUAAGGUAGGGUUGAUGAUAGGGGUUAAGUCGUAACAAGGUAUCCCUACCGGAAGGUGGGGAUGGAUCACCUCCUUUCUAAGGACUAUAUAUACUAAAAUCAUC
This 1415-nucleotide ribosomal RNA is filed under the name Candidatus Phytoplasma trifolii. RNAcentral's name for it is "bacterial SSU rRNA". It matches the Rfam family "Bacterial small subunit ribosomal RNA". The record is from RNAcentral. Lineage: Bacteria; Bacillati; Mycoplasmatota; Mollicutes; Acholeplasmatales; Acholeplasmataceae.